Molecule: long non-coding RNA, 12276 nt
Organism: Oncorhynchus nerka (sockeye salmon)
Lineage: Eukaryota; Metazoa; Chordata; Actinopteri; Salmoniformes; Salmonidae
Exons: 3
Source: RefSeq, a predicted model, not a curated record
UUGGCUGUAAAGCAUAUUUUGAAAAUCUGAGAUGACAGGGUGAUUAACAAAAGGCUAAGCUGUGUUCCAAUAUAUUUCACUUGUGAUUUUCAUGAAUAGGAAUAUUUUCUAGGAAGAUUUAUGUCCGUUGCGUUAUGCUAAUUAGUGUCAGAUGAUGACAACAGUCCCGUUCACGUGAUGGUGUGUCACUACAGAUUAAAGCUUGGUCGCAAAUGGCUCUUCCAAGUGGACAAUGACCCCAAGCAUACUUCCAAAGUUGUGGCAAAAUGGCUUAAGGACAACAAAGUCAAGGUAUUAGAGUGGCCAUCACAAAGCCCUGACCUCAAUCCUAUAGAAAAUGUGUGAGCAGAACUGAAAAAGCGUGUGUGAGCAAGGAGGCCUACAAACCUGACUCAGUUACACCAGCUCUGUCAGGAGGAAUGGGCCAAAAUUCACCCAACUUAUUGUUGGAAGCUUGUGGAAAGCUACCCAAAACAUUUGACCAUUUAAAGGCAAUGCUACCAAAUACUAAAUGAGUGUAUGUAAACUUCUGACCCACUGGGAAUGUGAUAAAAUAAAUAAAAGCUGAAAUAAAUCAUUCACUAUUAUUCUGACAUUCACAUUCUUAAAAUAAAGUGGUGAUCCUAACUGACCUAAGACAGGGAAUUUAUACUAGAAUUAAAUGUCAGGAAUUGUGAAAAACUGAGUUUAAAUGUAUUUGGCUAAAGUGUAUGUAAACUUCCGACUUCAACUGUAUAUGAAACUAAUUAUUACAGGUCUGAUCAAUUCAUGCAAAUGUCAUCUCAGAGACAUCUCUACAUGAUCUCAAAGAGGUGCUAAAGUGUAAAAUAAUCACAAAAGUGGAACAGAUAUGAUUUAUUUCCAUUAAUUCAUCAUUCAAUAUACAUUCAUAAUGUUCCAACACAAGUCAUUUGUUGAGUAUACCUAGUCCUUCUCAAGUGUGUUUGGGAAAUGAGUUGCAAACACAAUACCGGGCAUAGCUGUCAAGUCAAGGAAAACAACUUUGCCCAAAACAUGCUCAAGUGCAAUUACAACUGUGUUGACAGGGGUUUCCAAUAGGGUCACAUCAUGAAAGCAGGUACCAUGUGUUACAGUAUCUUGCAGCAAAGAAAAACAUGCACUUUCAAAUUCGCUAAUAAGUGCCCAUUUUAGUCCUCAGAGGUAAAGAAGAAUUCAAAUCUGUCCAUACUUUAGUUGUGCUACUGUACAUUAGAAGAAUAAAACAAAAAUAGUUAGUUAUUUUUCCUUUCCCAUAAUGCCUUGAUGUGAGACGAGUUCUCUUAAUUCUCUUAACUUGUGCCCUGUGAAAUGCCUUCACUGAAUGUGGUGAAUUAAUGUGGCGACCAGCAUGUUUUUCUAUUGCAGAGAGGUGCCUUGCCUCCAGUUGAAGUUCACUUGAUGCUCCAAUUAUGUUUGUUCUCGACUUAUGUGACUUUGUCACAAAAAACUAUGGUCAUUGGUCAUCCGUGCGUAAAAGUCAGCUAUGGCAUUUUCUGGCUUUAUGAUUUGCGAAAUAGCAUGGAUAGACUGCACUAGUUUGACUGCAUGGACCAUUUGUAUAGGUAUGUUUUGAAUACCAUGUGUGAGCCUUAACAAAUAUUCAUGUUUCCAUUUUGAAGACAAAAAUGGCUGAGUCCAUAAUGGGCCAAGGGCUUUGACGCUGUCUGCUAGUUGCACAAGAAGGUGAAUAUUUGCAGUUUGGUAAUGCUCACCAUAGAGAUUACUAAUUUGAGAGAAAAAGUUCCAUAGCAGUUUCUCUGCAUGAUCAAUCUGUUGUAUUGAUAUGAAGUCCAUCAGAAGAAUGAAAAUAGCUUCACUUAAAAGGAGGGAGUGAUUGUAGUAAAGAGUUCCAAGAACACCACGGAAAACAUGUCCAAAAAAGAUUAAAAGAGCCCGAUAAUUCUGAUGCCUUAAAAAACAUCCUGUGAGAUGCUACUGAUCGAGGAUAUUGUGCCAAGGAUGGUGGUCGGAUAUCUUGCAAUCACUUGUCUUUUUGUUUUGUUUCUUUUGACAUGCUGAAGGGCUGAUGAGAAACCUCAGUGGAAAACCAUAGAAGGAUCAGAAGGCGCAUCACUCCAAACAAAGCUGAGUGCAUGUAGUCUAUUCCAGUGCUACGGAUUAGGUCAUAACUUUUAAAUUGGCUAAGCCAACAGGGACCCUUCACACCUUUCACUUCACAGUGGUUUUUGUCUCAUAGGCCAUUUUAGCAUCAUCAGCAAAUGUUUGAUGCGUGUGAGGUGGCCCUUUUGGAUCCAUUUCUUGGAAUGGAAAUGCAUGAACAUGUCUCCUUUGCCCCAUCUUCAGUCUUUCCAGGCUGCUCACAUUUCGAACAUACAAAGAUCCCAUUGAACUGCACUGUAUUUAGUACUAUUGCUUGGCAGGCAAGUCACAUGUGCCAGCAAUGGUAAGCACUUUGCACAAAAACGUUUCAGAGCCCUCUGCCGGUUGCACAUGAAUUCCAUCCUCUUGAAGUUUACUCUGUGUUACUCAAUGGUCUAAGAAAUGUAACCAUAGAUGGUUUUGAGUCCCCAUACCAAAGUCUGGCAAAAAUCAAAUGUUCUCUUUCUGUGCAUUCAAUAAAGCUCAAUUCAUUAAUGAUACAAAAAAAGGCCACACUGAAAAUGUAGAUGAUUUAAAAAUAGGUACCCCAUCUGUGUUCCAUGUAAGUGAGAUGUUUCUAGGAUCACUAAGAGGACCUCCCCCAUCUGCAUGCUGUCUGUAAACUUCUGCAUCAUAUAUAUAUUCUAUGUCAGGAUCUUUCUUCUUCCUACAAAAUCUAAAGUUAAGCUUUUCCUGAAAACCAGGCUUGAGAAACAAGGAUCUUAUUUGAGCAUCAAUUUGAACAUCCAUGAAGGAUGAUGCUGAUCCUUCUUCUGUCAUGCUGGUACCACAGGUCAGACAUUGUUCACACACUACUGACUCAAAACAUGUGCUGCAACUCUUAUGCAUCCCAAAAGGGGAAGAUGCAGAGUUGGGGGAAAAGGUCUCUGAACUUCUGUACACUGCUCAAGCAGUCUGUGUUGAGACUAUCUGGACAAAGCAAUGUUGUUAAUUUAAGCUAAUCACUAAGGGCAUUGCCAGUUACUUUAUGACAGUUUGCGUAAGCCAUGAUUACCAAAAGGCACUCUCCAAUGGUUAUAGAUGCAUUGUCAUAUAAUGAUUUGCCUGUUUUGUUGUGUCGUUGGAUGUUGACUGUGUUGAGUGUGCACCCUACUCACUAGACACCUUUUCAAAUCCCUCACUGAAGAUAAAGUUAUCAUCAUAGGGACAAUUCAUGAAAUCAGGAAUCACUUCCUCAAAAGAUUCAGAUAGAUCAUACUGAUCAGUAUUGUCACACAGUUGUUAGGACAUCAGGAGUAUCUCGGCUGGCUGAUCUGAGGUUCGCUCUUCGUUUUCAAUGGUAAAGUCAAUCGUUGAAACAUAAAAUAAUAAAACAACAGUUUAAUAGUAUGUUUAGACAACAUGUAUUAAUGGUAAAACAUUGUGUUGCACCAUCACUGUGAGUGUACACAUGGGUCUCAAAUAAACUUGGCAAGAUAACACACACAAAGCAAAUUAGAUGUUUAUGCAAAUAUGUUUCAGGUACAAGAGGGUACUACUAUAAAACAUAGGAAGUGGAAUAAGAAUGUAUAACUUACUUAAAUAUUGUUCAUCCUACGUGCUGUCCUGACCGGGUGGGUGUGGUCUGUCCUGAUGGGACGGGUGCAUCGAUCCUUCCUGAUGGGGUGGUUGGGUUCCAUUCAUUCGGGCAGGCUGCAGGGGGUAAAAUAUAUAUAUUUUUUAAAUGGUGUCUGCUAUGUUAAAAUAUGGCAGAGCAAUUAUCACGUCACUCACCAAAUGUGCAGUCCUUCUUGGCCGUUUAAAUGGCCCAGCGUUCUUUAUUCAUUGUUCCUCUCCAUCGGCUUCCAGGCUCUGGUCUUGUCAUUUUCAGUCUCCAAUAUUAUUCAAUAGAGAUCGGUCACUCAAUUUUCGUCAAGAUAAAACAUUUAUUUAUUUAUUUCACCUUUAGGCCAGUUGAGAACAAGUUCUCAUUGCUUGCCUAUUGUCCUGUAGCCCAUCCCAGUCUUGUGCAGGUCUAAAAUUUUAUCCCUGAUGUCCUUACACAGCUCUCUGGUCUUGGCCAUUGUGGAGAGGUUGGAGUCUUUGAUUGAGUGUGUGGAUAGGUGUCUUUUAUACAGGUAAAAAGUUCAAACAGGUGCAGUUAAUACAGGUAAUGAGUGGAGAACAGGAGGGCUUCUUAAAGAAAAACUAACAGGUCUGUGAGAGCCGGAAUUCUUACUGGUUGGUAGGUGAUCAAAUACUUAUGUCAUGCAAUAAAAUGCAAAUUAAUUACUUAAAAAUCAUACAAUGUGAUUUUCUGGAUUUUUGUUUUAGAUUCCGUCUCUCACAGUUGAAGUGUGCCUAUGAUAAAAAAUUACCGACCUCUACGUGCUUUGUAUGUAGGAAAACCUGCAAAAUCGGCAGCGUAUCAAAUACUUGUUCUCUCCACUGUAUAUCUCCAGAAUUCAGCUGCUUCAGAGUGCAACUGGUCCUUGUUUGGGGACACACACACCAAAGCACGCAACAGGCUGACCAAUACAAGGGUUGAAAAAUUACCUUCUGUGGUCCAAGGUCAUUGAUGACUGCCUUCAGCUCAUCUACAAUGUAGAGACCGUUGUCCCUUGUGUCUGUGCUCUUGUAGAAUACUGGUUGAGGGGUAGAGAUGAUAUAGUUAAUUAUUCCUUGCCCACGAACAUUCGACCACCCAUCAGAGAUGAUUGCAAUACAGUCUGCUUUCUCUAUGAUUUGCUUGAACUCUGAACUCUGCAUCCAGCAAUUGAGUAGAUAAAGCAUGUCUGGUUGGAGGGGUAUAUGCUGGGCAAAGAACAUCUCUUCCAAUACACAUUGCCUGUGAGCAUCAGAGGUGAACCAGUUGCAUACACAGCUCGAGGAAGACAUUCAUCAGCAUUUCUCUGACUACAUUCCUCCAUUGAGUCAAAAAAAACUUCUGAUUCCAGGAGGACCAUGAGCUGUUGCUAUCUAUAAUGUAUCUGAUUCAUCAUUUUCACCUCGAUUAGAGGUAGAGGGACUUUUGUCAGAGGUUGCUUGUUGUGAGCGCUGAGGGAACUUUAUGCACUUGGCCAGAUGAUUCUGCAUCCUUGUUGCAUUCUUUACAUAUGAUUUGGCACAGUAUUUGCAAAUGUAUACAGCUUUUCCUUCUACAUUAUCUGCAGUGAAAUGUCUCCACACAUCAGAUAGUGCCAUUGGCAUUUUCCUGUAAAGAUUAGAAAAAAUAUGUGUAAAGAAACAACAAAUACAAUUCCAUAUAGAGAUAAAUAGUUAAGAAGUUAGAUUAAACAACUCAUUUGUAUGAUAAAUGUUUUAAAAUGAAACAUGUACAGAAUUAACACUCCUCAAGCAAGCUAAAACCCACAUGGUAGCAAAAACUAACUAGCAGAAAUUGUUAAUAAGUUAGAAAUGAUUUAACCUGUUGCAACGAGCAAUCCCGUAUCCGGGAGCGUAAUUAUAGCCUCAAGCUCAUUACCAUAACGCAACGUUAACUAUUCAUGAAAAUCGCAAAUGAAAUGAAAUAAAUAUAUUGGCUCACAAGCUUAUUAGCCUUUUGUUAACAACACUGUCAUCUCAGAUUUUCAAAAAAUGCUUUUCAACCAUAGCUACACAAGCAUUUGUGUAAGAGUAUUGAUAGCUAGCACAGCAUUAAGCCUAGCAUUCAUCAGGCAACAUUUUCACAAAAACAAGAAAAGCAUUCAAAUAAAAUCAUUUACCUUUGAAGAACUUCGGAUGUUUUCAAUGAGGAGACUCUCAGUUAGAUAGCAAAUGUUCAGUUUUUCCAAAAAGAUUAUUUGUGUAGGAGAAAUCGCUCCGUUUUGUUCAUCAGGUUUGGCUGAGAAAAAAAACGAAAAUUCAGUCAUUAAAACGCAAACUUUUUUCCAAAUUAACUCCAUAAUAUCGACAGAAACAUGGCAAACGUUGUUUAGAAUCAAUCCUCAAGGUGUUUUUCACAUAUCUAUUCGAUGAUAAGUCACUCGUGGCAGUUUGGUUUCUCCUCUGUUCAAAAUGGAAACAUGCACGCACCUGGAGAUUACGCAAUAGUUUUGACGGAGGACACCGAGCGGACACCUGGUAAAUGUAGUCUCUUAUGGUCAAUUUUCCAAUGAUAUGCCUACAAAUACGUCACAAUGCUGCAAACACCUUGGGGAAACGACAGAAAGUGUAGGCUCUCUCCUUGCGCAUUCACAGCCAUAUAAGGAGACAUUGGAACACAGCGCCUCAUAAAUCUGGCUCACUUCCUGUAUGAAAUUUCAUCUUGGUUUCGCCUGUAGCAUUAGUUCUGUGGCACUCACAGACAAUAUCUUUGCAGUUUUGGAAACGUCAGUGUUUUCAUUCCAAAGCUGUCAAUUAUAUGCAUAGUCGAGCAUCUUUUCGUGACAAAAUAUCUUGUUUAAAACGGGAACGUUUUUCAUCCAAAAAUGAAAUACUGCCCCCAGAGGUUCAAGAGGUUAAAACACACUUUGAUGUAGGCUACUAUUUACUAGUAAACAAAAAAUCAUGUGUGUCAUAAAAUAUAUUCACCCCACCCAGUACUGUAAUCAAAACAUAUCAGAAAGCAUGUAGUCCUUGGCUCAGACAGUGUAGUAGUGUGGGCUCAAUAGCAUCUCAUUAGUGUGCAAGAUCUUGAGAAUCAGCUGUACAUGUGAUGGAAGAGUGCACGACACGUGAUGGAAGAAUUCACUGUGCAAUCAGAGGGUUAGAAUUCCAUUGAAUUGGGGAUAGUUUAACCAAACUAUGCCACAAGACCUAAAAUUGCCUUAUUUGUAUCCCACAAAAAAAGGUUCACUGUUAUAAGCUAACUCUUUUUGAUGAAUUUAAAUAAAUAAUAAUAAUGAUUUGUGCCCUGGUCCUAUAAGACCUCUUUGUCACUUCCUACUAGCCGGGUUGAGACGACAACUCACACUCAUUCUUAUGUUUAAUACAUGUAUAGUAUGUUUCGUAUAGUGUGCAUUGUAUAGUGUAUGUGUGGCAGGCUUACAAUGAUGGCAAAAAAACAUUUGAGAGUGUGCUGACCCUGGUGCUAGACUGGGUACGCAGCUGGAGGUUGAAUGUUUUAAGGGGUACGGGAAUAGGGUGGCAAAGGGACGGAAACUUUCUGGUACAUUUCUGGAAUUUUUCCGGAAAUUUUACAUGGGAAGUUAAGCCCAGGAAUUUGGGGAAUUUUGCUUAACCAUCUUACAUAAAACCUUAUUUGUUCAUUGAAAAUUGUGAAUAACGCACCACAGGUUAAUGAGAAGGGUGUGCUCAUAACUCUGCAAUGUUGGGUUGUAUUGGAGAGUCUCAGUCUUAAAUCAUUUUCGACAGUCUGUGCCUGUAUUUAGUUUUCAUGCUAGUGAGGGCCAGAAUCAACUCUCACAUAGGUACAUGGUUGCAAAGGGCAUCAGUGUCUUAACAGUGCAAUUUGCCCCGGCAGGCUACUCUGAGCACAGCCCAAUCCAGAAUCUGGCAGUGGCUUCUGAUUAAAUUCAAUUUUCACAGAACCGCUUGUUGCAAUUUCGAUGAGUCUCUCUUGUUCAGAUAUCGGUAAGUGGACUGGAGGCAGGGCAUGAAAGGGAUAACAAAUCCAGUUGUUUGUCAUCCGUUUCAGGAAAGUACCUGUGUAAUUGCGCACCCAACUCACUCAGGUGCUUCGCUAUAUCACAUUUGACAUUGUCCGUAUUCUUGAGUUCAUUUGCACACAAAAAAGUCAUACAAUGAUGGAAAGACCUGUGUGUUGUCCUUGUUAAUGCAGACAGAGAAGAGCUCCAGCUUCUUAAUCAUAGCCUCAAUUUCAUCCCGAACAUUGAAAAUAAUUGCGGAGAGUCCCUGUAAUCCUAGAUUCAGAUCAUUCAGGCAAGAAAAAAACAACACCCAGAUAGGCCAGUCAUGUGAGAAACUCGUCAUCAUGCAAGCGGUCAGACAAGUGAAAAUUAUUGUCAGUAAAGAGAACUUUAAGCUCGUCUCUCAAUAAAAUAAGAAAAACAUGUCAAUACUUUGCCCCUUGAUAACCAGCGCACUUCUGUAUGUUGUAAAAGCGUUACAUGGUCGCUGCCCAUAUCAUUGCAUAGUGCAGAACAUACACGAGAGUUCAGGGGGCUUUUUUUAACAAAGUUAACCAUUUUCCCUGUAGUGUCCAAAACGUCUUUCAAGCUGUCAGGCAUUCCUUCAGCAGCAAGAGCUUCUCGGGGAUACUGCAGUGUACCCACUGCAGCAACUGCUUGCAUGCGCGUUACCACUCCACUAUGUCUCCCUGCCAUGGCUUUUGCGCCAUCAGUACAGAUACCAACACAUCUUGACCACCAAAGUCCAUUUGAUGUCUCAAAGCUGUCCAGUAGUUUAAAAAUAUCCUCUGCUGUUGUCCUGGUUUGCAGAAGAGGAUGUCUUCCUUAAUUGACCCCUCAUAAACAUAACGGACAUAUACCAGGAGCUGUGCCAGGCCCACCACGUCUGUUGACUCAUCCAGGUGGAACGCAUAGAAUUCACUGGCUUGUAUGCGAAGCAGUAAUUGUUUCAAAAAAUCUCCUGCCAUGUCACUGAUGAGUCGUGAAACAAUGUUGUUUGAUGAAGUAAUUGUCUGUAUAGUCUUUUUGGGCCUUUUCCCCCAUCCAUAUCUGCGGCAACAGGAAGAAUUAAGUCCUCCACAAUAGUAUGGGGCCUGCCUGUCCUAGCCACUCGGUAGCUCACCAUAUAAGACACUUCUUAUUAAUGGUAUCUGUUGGUUUUAUACAUGUCUUACUACUCAAAAUUCAUUUCAAUUCUUGCUCAAAAAACACCUGGGGCCAAUUUUUCAAAUUGGCAUGUUUUGUUUCUAAAUGUCUGUGCAAGAGUGAAGGUUUCAUUGAGUUGUGAGAUAGUACCUUUGCACAUAGAACACACUGUAGCUGAGGAAAGGCACUACUCCCAAUCUAAGUGCACGCACCAGCCCUCACUGGAUGGAACACACCAGUCCCAGUUGGACAGCACGCACCAGCCCUCACUGGAUGGAACGCACCAGCUCCAAUAUGACGGCACGCACCAGCCGCAUGGCAGCCAUGUGAUGGUUGUAGGGACGAGGUCGAACAAAUCCUCUGUGACAAGGGAAGGAUGGAGGAAGUAAUUUUGAGAAUAGACCCAGUCCAGAUCCGAGAGCUGCACGCUCUCAUUGACAUCAUUGGAGAAACACUGUUAGCUACAGGAGAGAAGGCCAUCGGUGCCAUCCGGCGAGCAAGAGUUGUUUCCUGACAGUGGCAUGUUCCUCUCAUCGUUCUGCCAUCCAUCAGGCAUCUAAGCAAGAUUGCUUGCGUCUCUUCAUUUUCUUUUUGACCAUUUUGUCUCAGUGGAAGAAUGUGUCAAUUGAGUUGCCUUUGGACGCCAUGGCAAGAUCCCCCGAACGGAAGCUAGUCCUCGAACCAGAAAAAGGUCAGCGGAAUUCUAACCUACAUUUUGCGUUGUGCUACCUUGGAUGGUUGGACCGGAAUCGAUGAAGCAAAACUGAAGGCAUUCAUCAACAAGUGAAGGUCCAGAGCAGGACAUACAGAGUAGUGACUACUAAAAUAUUUUUGUUUGUGUACAAUGUGCAAUGUUCAUAUUUGCAAUAAGGUAUAUUUAAGAACAUACUGUUAUGGGCUUACUGGUGUCACAUGUAGGUUCGACUUUUUGUUCACUACAUCUGGUGGGUGACAACUGGCUAUUUUCAUCUCUACAAUAUUAUUUGGGGGUUUACCUAAUGUUUUAAAUCCGGUACAAGAGCAUAUGCUGUAUAUUAAUUUUAUUUACGUUCUUACAGUCAAUGGAACCCAAUCUGUGUUGGGAAUGAAAAGUGAGAUGCAUUGUUAAUAUAAUAAGCACUGUUGAAUACAUUUGUUGAACUGUAUCAGUUUAUUCUUAUUUUUUAACAGGUAAUCAUAAUUAAUAAUAUGGCAAAUUAAUGCUAACAAAUGAAAUUCUCAAUUGUGUCUCAUAUCUCAUUAAUCAAGCUCAUGUAUAGCUUCUGUAGUAAUUAUAAGAGAAAUACAUGAGACACGGAGGAGACGUUGCACAUACAAUGUAGAGCACUCCUUUAUGGCUCAUACCUAGACAUUUCUGAAAUGAUCACCUCAGAUUAAGAUCAUUAGUCUAAUAAGUCUCAAACUUGUGUCAUGAAUUUAUCAUUAUUUGUCCUUUAAAAUAAGAGGCAAGAAUGAGCUCAACGGUAUACAAUGAUAAGACCUCUGCCGAUCAUACUUCUCGAAUACUGCUCCUCGACUUAAGUACAAAGCUCUUAAUUAAACCAAAGACCGUAUAGAAAACGAAACCACCUUGGCUUUGGUUAAACCAAAUGGUUAAACAUUUUCUAAAUGUUAGUUAGUUAGCUAGCUAGCUGACGUUAACCUAGCAUGCCUCAAUAGCCUGCUUUAAUAACAGAAGAAACAAAUAACUACUUACUUCAAUAUUGACACAUUUGAUUAGCUUGCUAGUUGGUUCGAUAGUUUCUCUACUGAAAAACUAUCGAACUUAACUUUUUAUUAUUGUCAGACAUCGUUCACCAUCCCCUUUCAUCUCGCUGUUUAAAAAAAAAUUGGGUUAGAGAGCAGUCAAGCUGUGAUUGGUCCAAAAAUCUGACCAAUUGCAUUUCAGUAGACUGCUAUAGGCUAUGUUCAUUGGCUAGACUGUCCCCGUUAUACAAUUAUGGUAAGCGAUUGCGAGAACAAAAUUGAUUUUGGAGAGCAAACUGGAAAAUUGGUGUGAGAGAGAAAAGACUGUGUGUGGAGUCGGGAUGCGUGCAGUCAUUUGAGUCUUGACAGACGGUCCUCUGCUCGCUCGACCGCAUUUCUUCUCUCUCGACUCAAGUGUUGGCUCACUCUAGCCCGUUCAACUUUUGAAUCGGAGUUGACACCAUAGUAUUUCCCCAUCGUUUAUCAGUGCUAUUUUGAUAGCCAACUAGCUGAAAAGGUUUGAGAGGAUUUAUUUAAUGUUCCCUCGUUAGAUUUGAGCUCAUCUCGCUCUGGCUAGCAUUAGUUGUUGAUCUUGUUGAUGUGCAUAACUGAGCGAGAGACAGCUUACCGUUUCAUGUUUGUUCAAUACCUAAGCUUAUCAGUAAUACUACCAAGAGCAGUGUGCGGUUUCCUUUUUCAUGUUUGUUUGAUCUAUAGGUCUGUAAAGUUCCCAAAUGUAAUAGAACUCAGAUGGUAUUGACAUAUUUCCAGAAAUCCAUUCAGGUAUAUUUUGUGGCUUUUGGAGAAUGCGUUCUAAUGUUCAAAAAUUGUACUAUUGCAAAUGCCUGUAAACACAGUCCAGUUCAACGUGAAUGAUGGCAGGCCCCUGUGGCAAAUGGCUUAUAAAGGCCUACUGUAGCCCUGAUUGGUGAUGGCACACCCAUCUGUGUAGAUGCCCUUACUUGAUGAGAGAGAUUAUUUUUUUUAGGUUUUAUUUACUGCAGUGUCUUAAUUGUCAAAACGCACGGCCGCUUUCCCACUCUACAUUGCUAUAGAAUUUUCAUAAAUGCCUUGGGCUACUCUACGUAAUUCCCAAACAUUCUACGAAUGUAUGAAAAUGUGAAAAUUACCAUAUACUGUAUAAGUGAGUCUUUCUGGGUAAGGCGCUAAGAGCUUUCCACACCUGGAUUGUGAAACUUUUCCCAUUAUUCUUAAAAAUAAAUCUAAUGAGCUAUUGAUCAUUGCUAGACAACCAUUUUCAGGCCAUAGAUUGUCAAGUAGAUUUAAGUCAAAACUGUAACUUGGCCACUCAGGAACAUUCACUGUCUUCUUGGUAAGCAACCCCUGGGUAGAUAUGGGUUUGUGUUUUGGGUUAUUGUCCUGCUGAAAGGUGAAUUAAUCUCCCAGUUUUUGGUGGAAAGCAGACUGAACCACAUUUUCCUCUAGGAUUUUGGCUGUGCUUAGCUCCAUUCCAUUUUUAAAAUCCUUAACGAUUACAAGCAUACCCAUAACAUGAUGCUGCCACCAUUAUGCUUGAAAAUAUGGAGAGUGAUACUCAGUAAUGUGUUGUAUUGGAUUUGCCCCAAACACUUUUUCUCCUGAAUACAAAGUGUUAAUUGCUUUGCCACAUUCUUUGUAGUAUUACUUUAGUGCCUUGUUGCAAACAUGAUGCAUGUUUUGUAAUAUUUGUAAAUGUCUAUGCUGUCUGACUAUGUGUAUAUUUGCUAUUAAAAGGAACUCAGUUGCAUUGUAAGGGGACUCAGAGAAUUCACUGGGGAGACACUGAAUUUAUCUGAGAGUCACAGGAUUGUGAUAAGAGCUCAUAUAAUUAAAGAUGGACUUUUAUAACUAA